CUCGGAAGGAUCAUUACCGAGUGAGGGCCCUCUGGGUCCAACCUCCCACCCGUGUUUAUUUACCUUGUUGCUUCGGCGGGCCCGCCUUAACUGGCCGCCGGGGGGCUCACGCCCCCGGGCCCGCGCCCGCCGAAGACACCCUCGAACUCUGUCUGAAGAUUGUAGUCUGAGUAUAAAUAUAAAUUAUUUAAAACUUUCAACAACGGAUCUCUUGGUUCCGGCAUCGAUGAAGAACGCAGCGAAAUGCGAUACGUAAUGUGAAUUGCAAAUUCAGUGAAUCAUCGAGUCUUUGAACGCACAUUGCGCCCCCUGGUAUUCCGGGGGGCAUGCCUGUCCGAGCGUCAUUUCUGCCCUCAAGCACGGCUUGUGUGUUGGGCCCCGUCCUCCGAUUCCGGGGGACGGGCCCGAAAGGCAGCGGCGGCACCGAGUCCGGUCCUCGAGCGUAUGGGGCUUUGUCACCCGCUCUGUAGGCCCGGCCGGCGCUUGCCGAUCAACCCAAAUUUUUAUCCAGGUUGACCUCGGAUCAGGUAGGGAUACCCGCUGAACUUAA
This 550-nucleotide ribosomal RNA is filed under the name Penicillium glandicola. RNAcentral's name for it is "eukaryotic LSU rRNA". The stretch from base 192 to 344 matches the Rfam family "5.8S ribosomal RNA". The record is from RNAcentral. Lineage: Eukaryota; Fungi; Ascomycota; Eurotiomycetes; Eurotiales; Aspergillaceae.